GACGAACGCUGGCGGCGUGCCUAAUACAUGCAAGUCGAGCGAAGUUUUUCUGGUGCUUGCACUAGAAAAACUUAGCGGCGAACGGGUGAGUAACACGUAAAGAACCUGCCUCAUAGACUGGGACAACUUUUGGAAACGAUAGCUAAUACCGGAUAACAGUAUUUCUCGCAUGAGAGAUAUUUAAAAGUUGGUUAUGCUAACACUAUGAGAUGGCUUUGCGGUGCAUUAGCUAGUUGGUGGGGUAAAGGCCCACCAAGGCGACGAUGCAUAGCCGACCUGAGAGGGUGAUCGGCCACACUGGGACUGAGACACGGCCCAGACUCCUACGGGAGGCAGCAGUAGGGAAUCUUCCGCAAUGGGCGAAAGCCUGACGGAGCAACGCCGCGUGAGUGAAGAAGGAUUUCGGUUCGUAAAGCUCUGUUGUUAGGGAAGAAUGGAUAUGUAGUAACUAUACAUGUAAGAGACGGUACCUAACCAGAAAGCCACGGCUAACUACGUG
RNAcentral lists this ribosomal RNA (499 nucleotides) under uncultured bacterium. RNAcentral's name for it is "partial 16S ribosomal RNA". It matches the Rfam family "Bacterial small subunit ribosomal RNA", at positions 28 to 507 of the family's 1533-position model. The record is from RNAcentral.